GCUGAGGAGUCCUACAAUAGGACGAAACGGCCGUCC
Molecule: non-coding RNA, 36 nt
Filed under: Schistosoma curassoni
Lineage: Eukaryota; Metazoa; Platyhelminthes; Trematoda; Strigeidida; Schistosomatidae
Source: RNAcentral